GAGUGGAACGGAUAUAAACCAUUCCUGCCUCAUAAGCAGGAGAUACCAGGUUCGACUCCUGGGCAACACA
Molecule: transfer RNA, 70 nt
Filed under: Bacteriophage sp.
Description: tRNA-Met
Source: RNAcentral